Molecule: transfer RNA, 66 nt
Filed under: Tetramorium tsushimae
Lineage: Eukaryota; Metazoa; Arthropoda; Insecta; Hymenoptera; Formicidae
Description: tRNA-Pro
Source: RNAcentral
CAAAAAAUAGUUUAAUUAGAAUAUUAAUUUUGGAGAUUAGAGGUAUAUUGGUAAAUAUUUUUUUGA